Molecule: ribosomal RNA, 484 nt
Filed under: uncultured bacterium
Lineage: Bacteria
Description: partial 16S ribosomal RNA
Rfam family: Bacterial small subunit ribosomal RNA
Source: RNAcentral
GACGAACGCUGGCGGCGUGCUUAACACAUGCAAGUCGAACGAUGAAGCCGGAGCUUGCUCUGGUGAAUUAGUGGCGAACGGGUGAGUAACACGUGAGUAACCUGCCCUUGACUCUGGGAUAACUGCGGGAAACUGUAGCUAAUAACGGAUACGACCCUCGGAGGCAUCUCCUGGGGGUGGAAAGAAUUUCGGUCAAGGAUGGACUCGCGGCCUAUCAGCUAGUUGGUGAGGUAAAGGCUCACCAAGGCGACGACGGGUAGCCGGCCUGAGAGGGUGACCGGCCACACUGGGACUGAGACACGGCCCAGACUCCUACGGGAGGCAGCAGUGGGGAAUAUUGCACAAUGGGCGCAAGCCUGAUGCAGCAACGCCGCGUGAGGGAUGACGGCCUCCGGGUUGUAAACCUCUUUUAGCAGGGAAGAAGCGAAGGUGACGGUACCUGCAGAAAAAGCACCGGCUAACUACGUGCCAGCCGCCGCCGUAA